This 503-nucleotide ribosomal RNA is filed under the name uncultured bacterium. Its description in RNAcentral is "partial 16S ribosomal RNA". It matches the Rfam family "Bacterial small subunit ribosomal RNA", at positions 29 to 507 of the family's 1533-position model. The record is from RNAcentral.
AACGAACGCUGGCGGCGUGCCUAACACAUGCAAGUCGAACGAGAAAGGGGCUUCGGCUCCGAGUAAAGUGGCGCACGGGUGAGUAACACGUGGGUAACCUGCCUCUAAGAUUGGGAUAACUCGUCGAAAGAUGAGCUAAUACCGAAUAAGACCACAGUUCCCGCGGGAACAGGGGUCAAAGGUAGCCUCUGCUUGCAAGCUAUCACUUAGAGAUGGGCCUGCGCACCAUUAGCUAGUUGGUAGGGUAACGGCCUACCAAGGCAAAGAUGGUUAGCUGGUCUGAGAGGAUGAUCAGCCACACUGGAACUGAGACACGGUCCAGACUCCUACGGGAGGCAGCAGUGAGGAAUAUUGCGCAAUGGGCGAAAGCUUGACGCAGCAACGCCGCGUGAGUGAUGAAGGCCUUCGGGUCGUAAAGCUCUGUCGGGAGGAACGAAUGCUCCUGAGGUUAACAGCCUCGGGAGGUGACGGUACCUUCAAAGGAAGCACCGGCUAACUCUGUG